This 348-nucleotide unclassified non-coding RNA is filed under the name uncultured fungus. RNAcentral's name for it is "sequence contains 5.8S rRNA gene". The stretch from base 1 to 53 matches the Rfam family "5.8S ribosomal RNA", at positions 102 to 154 of the family's 154-position model. Lineage: Eukaryota; Fungi. The record is from RNAcentral.
GAACGCAUAUUGCGCUCUUUGGUAUUCCGAAGAGCAUGCUUGUUUGAGUAUCAGUAAACACCUCAAAACUUUUUUUUAUUUUUGAAAAACAGUUUUGGACUUGAGCAAUCCCAACACCAAUCUUUUUUAGAUCGGUGGCGGGUUGCUUGAAAUGCAGGUGCAGCUGGACAUUCUCCUGAGCUAUAAGCAUAUCUAUUUAGUCCCGUCAAACGGAUUAUUACUUUUGCUGCAGCUAACAUAAAGGGAGUCUGACCGUAUUGGCUGACUGAUGCAGGAUUUCACAGGGGUUGGAAACGACUCUUGUAAAACUCGAUCUCAAAUCAAGUAAGACUACCCGCUGAACUUAAG